CUACGGGACGCUGCAGUGAGGAAUAUUGCACAAUGGAGGAAACUCUGAUGCAGCAACGCCGCGUGGAGGAUGACGCAUUUCGGUGUGUAAACUCCUUUUAUAUGUCAAGAAAAUGACGGUAGUAUAUGAAUAAGCACCGGCUAACUCCGUGCCAGCAGCCGCGGUAAUACGGAGGGUGCAAGCGUUACUCGGAAUCACUGGGCGUAAAGGACGCGUAGGCGGGUUGGAAAGUCAGGUGUGAAAUCCUACAGCUUAACUGUAGAACUGCACUUGAAACUUCUAAUCUAGAGUAUGGGAGGGGGAGAUGGAAUUAGUGGUGUAGGGGUAAAAUCCGUAGAUAUCACUAGGAAUACCUAAAGCGAAGGCGAUCUCCUGGAACAUUACUGACGCUAAGGCGUGAAAGCAUGGGGAGCAAACAGGAUUAGAUACCCGAGUAGUC
RNAcentral lists this ribosomal RNA (439 nucleotides) under uncultured bacterium. RNAcentral's name for it is "partial 16S ribosomal RNA". It matches the Rfam family "Bacterial small subunit ribosomal RNA", at positions 339 to 795 of the family's 1533-position model. The record is from RNAcentral.